RNAcentral lists this long non-coding RNA (3961 nucleotides) under Bemisia tabaci. Its description in RNAcentral is "lncRNA ENSSWEETPG009657". The record is from RNAcentral. Lineage: Eukaryota; Metazoa; Arthropoda; Insecta; Hemiptera; Aleyrodidae.
AUGGCAACAGACAAUUUAGCCAGGUUGAAGGAAUGUCUUGUGCGGUUUUUAGUGACUACCAUCAAACCAACUUUAACUUCUGAAAUGUGUCUCGAGCUUUUAAAUCCUAAUGAAGAUGAUAUUGAAAGUUCAGCAGAGUGUUUGGAAAAAUUAUCCCACUGUAUCACUCAGAUACCAGCUGGUCAUCAAAAUGACUCAGAGGAUCAGGAAGAAAGUCUUGUCAAGAAAAGGAAACUUUGCCAUUUGAAUUUUAAAGCAGUCGAACGUAUUUCAAAGGAGCAAAUUGACUAUUUAAUGAAUUCUUGCAGCUGUGAUGGAGCAGAUGAUCAACAGAAAGAUCUGCCAUUGGUAUUUUCAUUAGUAAAUUCAUUCUGUGAUGAAAAAGUCCUAGAUAGUGUCUCCCAGAACUUACUGAGUCAUUACACGUAACAUGAAGUUUAUCAUCUGUGUAAUUGUCUAGCCAACAGGUAAAUGUACCUCGCGGGACGGCCAAUGUUGAGUUUCAUCGAAUUUUAUCCAUCUGGCUCCUAUCUAUAACCCUCCUAUAGCCAAAACAUUUUCCUUUUUUUAAAAUUUUAUCAGAUUUCCUCCUCAGAAUUACAUGUUCAGUCUAGUCAUUCAAACUUCAUUGUAAUAGGAUAGUAAUUGAUUUUUUUUGAAAAUGAGCGUAAUGAAGAAUUUAAUUAAAACAUCAUCUUGCCUUCAAUUUAUCUCUGCAAUCAUUUCAAGGUAUCAUUCUAUUCUUGCAUUUUAUUUAUGGCUGUCGUUCUGUCAAGAAAAAUAUUUUCAAUACGUCCAAGAUUAAGUAGGUCUUUCUGUGAGCAUCACCUAGGACUCUCAAAAAAUUACUAGUUGUAAAUCUACUCUCCAUGGUAAGCCAUUCCUCAUUUCCUCCCACUGACAACUGCGAAUGAAACACAUCAAAGAUUUGUAACAAGGAAUGUAAACAUGAAAGGGACCACCUAAUAUAACAAAUUUUUUCUAUUUAGUAAAUUUUGCAACUGCUCCAAGUGUUUUGAAUGCACAUGAUUUGAUCGGUUUGGAGGGCAUAGCACGCACCAAUUAGGUACACAUGCACUUAAGCCCAUGAACGCAAAUUAAAACUCUUUAAAUAAUCUGUCAAUCGAUAAAAUAAAUAAAUAAAUGAGUAGUAGAAAAAAUUCAUUCCUGUUUUAAUCUGGGGGAAAAAUUUCGUAUGAAAAGCUGAUAAAACAAAUAUAGAGAGCCACCUGGCGGACGGGUGACUUUCUGUAAUCCGUGCUGCUUCUCUUUACUUAUUCCUCCAGAUACACGAGAACGAUUUUUAUAAAAAUCUCCAUUACUGGAUUUUGACCCAACUUUUCAAUCAUUUAAUUUGUGAAGAAUUUGCCCUAAGAACUGUGUGUCCCUUUCCCCACGGACGUUCAUACUUUAUAAAUAGAUACAUCAAGCGAGUCUAUUAUUCAAUAUUUUGCAAUUGAGAGCCCUGGCAUCGGAGCAUAAAAUUGCUGUUUGUGACCGUCAAAAUUGUAAAGUUGCAUAUGAAAUAAACAAAAAAAAAAGAGAUGGAUUUUCAAUAGAAAAAAUAAUAGUUUUAAUUUCAAAAAUUGCAACAAAACCACACGACAAAGUCUGAAAUUGAAUUUCAAACUUGAUUUUGAUAAUAUGCAAGUCUUUUGAAGACUCGCAAAUGGACAGAGCUUAAUGGCAGAAAUGCACCAAGUCGCAUUUUGGAAGAAAUGAGUUGGGGGUUAGUUUUUGAAUACAACAACUGGUCGCAAAUUUUCUCCCGUCAAGUAUUCAAAGUUGAAUAAAAGUAUUUUGAACGUGAAAAAUAAUUGUUAAAGUUGUCCUCAACAUGGAGUCUCUUGGAGGAAUAAAAGUUUGAACCUCUUUAUCAAAUUUUGACUUUAUGCAACUUGGUGCAUCCCUGAUGAAUUCUUUUAAAAAAUUUAAUGAAACACUUGUUAGAAGUGCAGUAGUAGUCUUAAUAACUAAUUUAACAAACAAACUUCUGACCAAGAUUUUUUUCUUAUUUUUUUCCCCAAAGAAUCUGUUUGACUCAGUGCUGCCAUUUCCUAGAAAUAAUCUAAUUUCGUAAUUUUUCCUGGAAUCCUUGAGAUUUCUGGAGUACUGCCUGAUGAUCAGAAUUUUUCAGUUUAAUCCUUUUUCUUGCCUUUUUCAAUGAUCAUUCAGUAAAUAUUCCUCUACUGUUACUAUUCCAGAUCCCUCGCUGAUCUUAUGUUGAUUUCUCCUUUCUCGCUAAUUCUAAUUACUUUCCUUGCUGAAACAGGAGGCUGCUGCUAAAAAUACAGUCAAACUAUGCAGUCUGACUGAGUGAGUAUGCACCCACACUGCCAAACCCUGAACAGAUGGUGGUUUGAUGCACAAAUCAUGUGGACAGAGUGUUGAUAAUUUUGCCCACGUACAUUAAAAUUUAGCAUAAAACUGAUACUCUGAUUACAGAUGGAAAAAGCUCUUCAAAGCACAAUUCACCCUCUAGAAUGAUACCCUGUUUGGGGCAACACUAGGUACAACCAAUCAGGGGGGCUACUGUGAGCGCAUUUUAAGACUAAUUGGUUCCAUUGGUACAGCUCAGCUUCCUAAUUUUCUGCUUCUAAGCUCAGAGUAAUCAUGAGAACCUGUCCGCGGUUUGGGUUUGCGUUUGCAAUGGCAAACAAACUUAUCGCUAUCUAGCAAACAUAUUAUUCAGACAGCUCUGCUAGAGCUCUUGCAAGGUAGUGUUACUAAUAUAGAUUGUUCUUCUAUCAUGAGAGUAUCAGUUUUAUACUGAAUAGUUUUAUAUGUGAAUUCUAACACACAUUGGCAAAAUUACCAACACUCAGUCUAGCAGUGGGUCACUGGUGACUGUUCAUUUUUCUUGCUACACUAAGGAUUCAUCUGUAUAUUUGACAACAGCUGUAGCCUAACAAUGUUGAAAUUUUCUCUGCCAUUCCCCACUUUUCUUCUUCUUGACCGUAAAAUUUUCUUAGGCAUGAUAAAUUUUAAACAGAUUUCUUAGGUUUAUGCUUAAAUUUGCAAGGUUCUAGGUUUUCUAUGUUAGUUAGUCCUAGAACUUACUCAGAAACUUAGGUUUUUCAGGUGCCUGUGAAAAAAAUUGAAACAAAAAAAGUUCGAAUCCCAAAAUCUUUUUACUAGCCAAACUGGCAGCAAUGAUUAAACUUUACCUUCAAUAUUAUAGACAUAUUUAACAUGCCUUUGGUAAACCAGUGUCUACAAUAAUCACUUAAAUUUUAAAGGAAAAUCUAAGUGGGCUUUCAAGGAAAUUUACAGCAUUUUUAAAUCGGUAAAGGGUAUUUUUGCUAGAAUAUAUUCUUGAAUCUUCAAAGAACUUAUGAUGGAUAAACAUUGGGUACAAAAAGAGAUGAAACACAAAAUAUACUUCCUUAAUGAUAAUACUCAAAUAGCACCACUCAUUGAAUGGUCAGUUCCAUAGCUGACUCAAUUUAUUUCUGGAAAAUGCAUACUUGCACUAAGCUUGUAUGUCAAUGUUGUGGGUUUCCCAUAAACUUUGGAACGAGCAAAAAGACUUGAGGACGCAGAAGAGGUAACCGAAACGUUCUUCCACCAGUUUUCUCUCAUUUGAACUCCAGGAUUUCAGCCUGGGACUCAGGUAUAAGGGUUCCAAUUGGAUCCAUCCUCUGGUUCAAGGCCAUUCGUAAUCAAGAGAAUCACAUCGACAACCCACCAGACUCCCAAACCUCCAAGAGUGAGAAGUUUUCCAACAGCAGUGCCUGUCUGACCGAGGCAAAAUCUAUCCAUGCCCAAGAAACCUAGCAAAUGCUGUACAUCAAUGUUGUGACAAAGUAAUGGCCACUGUAUCUGCAAAAAUAUCAACACAAAUAUUUAUGUAACAAAAUUAUUUAGCACUACUUUGAAAAAAGAGAAAAGAGAUCAUUAGUUAUUCAUUUUUUUGACACAUUAAUUAUUUUAUUGAAGUCUCAGAAAUCUGAACGGAAAU